This 380-nucleotide ribosomal RNA is filed under the name uncultured bacterium. RNAcentral describes it as "bacterial SSU rRNA". It matches the Rfam family "Bacterial small subunit ribosomal RNA", at positions 29 to 419 of the family's 1533-position model. The record is from RNAcentral.
AACGAACGCUGGCGGCAUGCCUAACACAUGCAAGUCGAACGAUUAUGGAACUAGCUUGCUAGUGCCCAGAUAGUGGCAGACGGGUGAGUAACGCGUGGGAAUCUACCUAGUAGUACGGAAUAGCCGUUGGAAACGACGAAUAAUACCGUAUAUUCCCUGAGGGGGAAAGAUUUAUCGCUACUAGAUGAGCCCGCGUUAGAUUAGCUAGUUGGUAGGGUAAUGGCCUACCAAGGCAAUGAUCUAUAGCUGGUCUGAGAGGACGAUCAGCCACACUGGAACUGAGAUAACGGUCCAGACUCCUACGGGAGGCAGCAGUGGGGAAUAUUGGACAAUGGGCGAAAGCCUGAUCCAGCAAUGCCGCGUGAGUGAAGAAGGCCUUA